This 450-nucleotide ribosomal RNA is filed under the name uncultured Glomeromycotina. RNAcentral's name for it is "SSU rRNA". It matches the Rfam family "Eukaryotic small subunit ribosomal RNA", at positions 569 to 1024 of the family's 1831-position model. Lineage: Eukaryota; Fungi; Glomeromycota. The record is from RNAcentral.
AGCAGCCGCGGUAAUUCCAGCUCCAAUAGCGUAUAUUAAAGUUGCUGCAGUUAAAAAGCUCGUAGUUGAAUUUCGGGACCGAUAUAUCGGUCGUGCCUCGGUACGUACUGGUAUUUUCGGUUUCUCCCUUCUGACGAACCUUGAUGUCAUUAAUUUGGUGUCUUGGGGAAUCAGGACUGUUACUUUGAAAAAAUUAGAGUGUUUAAAGCAGGCCCAAGCUUGAAUACAUUAGCAUGGAAUAAUGAAAUAGGACGUUUGAUUCUAUUUUGUUGGUUUCUAGGAUCGACGUAAUGAUUAAUAGGGAUAGUUGGGGGCAUUAGUAUUCAAUUGUCAGAGGUGAAAUUCUUGGAUUUAUUGAAGACUAACUACUGCGAAAGCAUUUGCCAAGGAUGUUUUCAUUAAUCAAGAACGAAAGUUAGGGGAUCGAAGACGAUCAGAUACCGUCGUAGU